AUUGAACGCUAGCGGGAUGCCUUACACAUGCAAGUCGAACGGAGUGGCGAACGGGUGAGUAAUGUAUCGGAACGUGCCCAGUAGCGGGGGAUAACUACGCGAAAGCGUAGCUAAUACCGCAUACUAUUGGAGCGGCUGAUAUCGGAUUUGCUAGUUGGUGGGGUAACGGCUCACCAAGGCGACGAUCCGUAGCUGGUUCGAGAGGACGACCAGCAACACUGGGACUGAGACACGGCCCAGACUCCGACGGGAGGCAGCAGUGGGGAAAUUUGGACAAUGGAGGAAACCCUGAUCCAGCCAUACCGCGUGAGAGAUGAAGGCCUUCGGGUUGUAAAAAACUUUUGGCAGGAAAGCGGUACCUACAGAAUAAGCACCGGCUAACUACGUGCCAGUAGCCGCGGUAAUUC
RNAcentral lists this ribosomal RNA (407 nucleotides) under uncultured bacterium. Its description in RNAcentral is "partial 16S ribosomal RNA". It matches the Rfam family "Bacterial small subunit ribosomal RNA", at positions 30 to 526 of the family's 1533-position model. The record is from RNAcentral.